Small nucleolar RNA from Pseudogymnoascus sp. 05NY08, 92 nucleotides. NCBI's taxonomy places the organism in Eukaryota, Fungi, Ascomycota, Leotiomycetes, Thelebolales, Thelebolaceae. The record is from Rfam.
UCAUAUGAUGAUACUUAUUCACACUGUUUGAGGCGGACUCAGGUCCGUCACUGAACGCAUCAACACAAAAUCUGAUUUAAUGAGGUAUGUUA